Molecule: long non-coding RNA, 1210 nt
Organism: Myxocyprinus asiaticus (Chinese sucker)
Lineage: Eukaryota; Metazoa; Chordata; Actinopteri; Cypriniformes; Catostomidae
Exons: 3
Source: RefSeq, a predicted model, not a curated record
UCUCGUGGGACUGAUACAUUUAUCAGAGAACGCUUUGUUGUGAUGUUGUCCUCUAAUACAGGUGAAGGUCUCAAAUUAUUUUAAGAAUGGUAGCGGUAACACAGUGGGUAACUCACCAUUCAGCAAUUUACAGCCUAUGCUAAAUCCAAGGGACAUUUCCCUGAGGUUAACAGCUCCUACACAUGCACUAUUUGCCCAAAAGAAAUAGAAAGUUUUCCCCUCAUCAAGACCAAGGUAUGGCUAAAAUCACUCAUGUAAAAAACUAUUGGAGGAAAUCACAGCAUUGUUCAAAUAUAAAGUGAAAAUAUUUUUAAAAUACUGUGUCGUAAAGCCUCUGCUGUACUCUUUUUUAAUAGCUGUCCAGAACUUUGCCCUCAUUCCCCAGCAUACAUCCCCAUGCUGUGCAAGAAAUUGAUGCUCUGCAUGAUGUCAUCUUGGAUACCAGACAACGUUAGAACACAAAUAAUAUCAUACUUAUGGGAGACUUCAAUGCUGGCUGUAGCUGUUUUGAAUGCAGACUGGUCGAAAAUAAGACUCCGUAUAGACCAGAGUUACAGCUGGCUCAUCCCUGACAGUGCAGACACAACUGUCACAAACACCAACUGCCCUUAUGAUAGGAUUGUGGCCACCUCCCCUGACAUGAUGAGAGGACUUUCCCCAGGAUCUGCACGUCUUUAACUUGAUGCAAGCCCAGGUAUCGAGUCACAGCUGGAUAAGGACGAUCUGUGCCUCAUUGGUGGUAUUAUCCUAAGCAUUAAACGUAGGAAGCUCUAAGGAGAACUGAGAUAUUGUUUAGCGUUUUCAUCUGUCUGAACCAUUCAUGUCUCUUCUAGGCCCUGGCAGUGAGUGAUCACUUUCCAGUUGAGGUCAAGCUUCUGUGAAAGAUCAAGGUUGUUCCCUCGCAGCAGAUACACUAGUUAAAUGUUUGGACAUAUGACUAGUUUUAUGAUUGUAAAAAUCUUUUGAUUUAAAAAAUGCUUGAAAUUAGUUUUGCAGACAAAUAUGAACAGAGCCUUUGUAUAAACUUCUUUAUAAAACUAAAAUUUAGUUUUUUAUAAAAACUGACAAAAUAUUCAAGGUAAAGCAGCCAACAAGUUACAAGCAUACAUGGCAAGUCCUAUACUGUUUUUGGUCAUUACAUAAUUCUCAUACUUCCAUUUGUGUUAUUUUAUGGUUUUGACGACUUAACUAUUAUUCUAAAAUGUGGAUU